Molecule: ribosomal RNA, 497 nt
Filed under: uncultured bacterium
Lineage: Bacteria
Description: partial 16S ribosomal RNA
Rfam family: Bacterial small subunit ribosomal RNA
Source: RNAcentral
GAUGGACGCUGGCGGCGUGCCUAAUACAUGCAAGUCGAGCGAACAGACGAGGAGCUUGCUCCUCUGACGUUAGCGGCGGACGGGUGAGUAACACGUGGAUAACCUACCUAUAAGACUGGGAUAACUUCGGGAAACCGGAGCUAAUACCGUAUAACAUGUUGAACCGCAUGGUUCAACAGUGAAAGACGGUCUUGCUGUCACUUAUAGAUGGAUCCGCGCCGCAUUAGCUAGUUGGUAAGGUAACGGCUUACCAAGGCAACGAUGCGUAGCCGACCUGAGAGGGUGAUCGGCCACACUGGAACUGAGACACGGUCCAGACUCCUACGGGAGGCAGCAGUAGGGAAUCUUCCGCAAUGGGCGAAAGCCUGACGGAGCAACGCCGCGUGAGUGAAGAAGGUCUUCGGAUCGUAAAACUCUGUUAUUAGGGAAGAACAAAUGUGUAAGUAACUAUGCACGUCUUGACGGUACCUAAUCAGAAAGCCACGGCUAACUACGUG